UGGGGAAUUUUGGACAAUGGGGGCAACCCUGAUCCAGCAACGCCGCGUGAAGGAUGAAGGUCUUCGGAUCGUAAACUUCUUUUGCAGGGGAAGAAUCACUCCGUGAAUAACGGAGAAUGACGGUACCCUGCGAAUAAGCCACGGCUAACUUCGUGCCAGCAGCCGCGGUAAUACGAAGGUGGCAAGCGUUACUCGGAAUUACUAGGCGUAAAGCGCAGGUAGGUGGUUAGGUAAGUCUGUAAUGAAAUCUCCCGGCUUAACUGGGAGGGGUUUAUAGAUACUGCUUGACUUGAGUGUGGGAGAGGUAACUGGAAUUCCAGGUGUAGCGGUGAAAUGCGUAGAUAUCUGGAGGAACACCAAUGGCGAAAGCAGGUUACUGGCCCAAUACUGACACUGAGCUGCGAAAGCUAGGGGAGCAAACAGG
RNAcentral lists this ribosomal RNA (424 nucleotides) under uncultured bacterium. RNAcentral's name for it is "bacterial SSU rRNA". It matches the Rfam family "Bacterial small subunit ribosomal RNA", at positions 355 to 776 of the family's 1533-position model. The record is from RNAcentral.